This 447-nucleotide ribosomal RNA is filed under the name uncultured bacterium. RNAcentral's name for it is "partial 16S ribosomal RNA". It matches the Rfam family "Bacterial small subunit ribosomal RNA", at positions 328 to 792 of the family's 1533-position model. The record is from RNAcentral.
GUUCCAGACUCCUACGGGAGGCAGCAGUGGGGAAUAUUGCACAAUGGGGGAAACCCUGAUGCAGCGACGCCGCGUGAGCGAUGAAGUAUUUCGGUAUGUAAAGCUCUAUCAGCAGGGAAGAAAAUGACGGUACCUGACUAAGAAGCCCCGGCUAACUACGUGCCAGCAGCCGCGGUAAUACGUAGGGGGCAAGCGUUAUCCGGAUUUACUGGGUGUAAAGGGAGCGUAGACGGCGGUGCAAGCCGGAUGUGAAAGCCCGGGGCUCAACCCCGGGACUGCAUUUGGAACUGUGCUGCUAGAGUGUCGGAGAGGCAGGCGGAAUUCCUAGUGUAGCGGUGAAAUGCGUAGAUAUUAGGAGGAACACCGGUGGCGAAGGCGGCCUGCUGGACUGUAACUGACGUUGAGGCUCGAAAGCGUGGGGAGCAAACAGGAUUAGAUACCCCUGUA